RNAcentral lists this transfer RNA (68 nucleotides) under Rattus norvegicus (Norway rat). It matches the Rfam family "tRNA". From Rfam's summary of the family: Transfer RNA (tRNA) molecules are approximately 80 nucleotides in length. Lineage: Eukaryota; Metazoa; Chordata; Mammalia; Rodentia; Muridae. The record is from Rfam by way of RNAcentral.
GGGGAUUUAGCUCAGUGGUAGAGCGCUUCCUUGGAAGUGCAAGGCCCUGGGUUCGAUCCCCAGCUCCG